Molecule: ribosomal RNA, 468 nt
Filed under: uncultured bacterium
Lineage: Bacteria
Description: partial 16S ribosomal RNA
Rfam family: Bacterial small subunit ribosomal RNA
Source: RNAcentral
GACGAACGCUGGCGGCGUGCUUAACACAUGCAAGUCGAACGGAAAGGCCCUGCUUUUGUGGGGUGCUCGAGUGGCGAACGGGUGAGUAACACGUGAGUAACCUGCCCUUGACUUUGGGAUAACUUCAGGAAACUGGGGCUAAUACCGGAUAGGAGCUCCUGCUGCAUGGUGGGGGUUGGAAAGUUUCGGCGGUUGGGGAUGGACUCGCGGCUUAUCAGCUUGUUGGUGGGGUAGUGGCUUACCAAGGCUUUGACGGGUAGCCGGCCUGAGAGGGUGACCGGCCACAUUGGGACUGAGAUACGCCCCAGACUCCUACGGGAGGCAGCAGUGGGGAAUAUUGCACAAUGGGCGGAAGCCUGAUGCAGCAACGCCGCGUGCGGGAUGACGUCCUUCGGGUUGUAAACCGCUUUCGCCUGUGACGAAGCGUGAGUGACGGUAAUGGGUAAAGAAGCACCGGCUAACUACGUG